This 499-nucleotide ribosomal RNA is filed under the name uncultured Glomeromycotina. RNAcentral describes it as "partial small subunit ribosomal RNA". It matches the Rfam family "Eukaryotic small subunit ribosomal RNA", at positions 591 to 1091 of the family's 1831-position model. The record is from RNAcentral. Lineage: Eukaryota; Fungi; Glomeromycota.
CCAAUAGCGUACAUUAAAGUUGUUGCAGUUAAAAAGCUCGUAGUUGAAUUUCGGGGUCAGUAGGUCGGUCGUGCCACUGGUAUGAACUGGUUUUACUGAUUCCUCCCUCUUGAAGAACUGUAAUGCCAUUAAUUUGGUGUUGCAGGGAAUCAGGACUGUUACUUUGAAAAAAUUAGAGUGUUUAAAGCAGGCUUUAGCUUGAAUACAUUAGCAUGGAAUAAUGAAAUAGGACGUUUGAUCCUAUUUUGUUGGUUUCUAGGAUUGACGUAAUGAUUAAUAGGGAUAGUUGGGGGCAUUAGUAUUCAAUUGUCAGAGGUGAAAUUCUUGGAUUUAUUGAAGACUAACUACUGCGAAAGCAUUUGCCAAGGAUGUUUUCAUUAAUCAAGAACGAAAGUUAGGGGAUCGAAGACGAUCAGAUACCGUCGUAGUCUUAACCAUAAACUAUGCCGACUAGGGAUCGGAUGAUGUUAAUUUUUUAAUGACUCAUUCGGCGCCUUAC